This 497-nucleotide ribosomal RNA is filed under the name uncultured bacterium. Its description in RNAcentral is "partial 16S ribosomal RNA". It matches the Rfam family "Bacterial small subunit ribosomal RNA", at positions 28 to 507 of the family's 1533-position model. The record is from RNAcentral.
GAUGAACGCUGGCGGCGUGCCUAAUACAUGCAAGUCGAGCGAACAGACGAGGAGCUUGCUCCUCUGACGUUAGCGGCGGACGGGUGAGUAACACGUGGAUAACCUACCUAUAAGACUGGGAUAACUUCGGGAAACCGGAGCUAAUACCGGAUAAUAUAUUGAACCGCAUGGUUCAAUAGUGAAAGACGGUUUUGCUGUCACUUAUAGAUGGAUCCGCGCCGCAUUAGCUAGUUGGUAAGGUAACGGCUUACCAAGGCAACGAUGCGUAGCCGACCUGAGAGGGUGAUCGGCCACACUGGAACUGAGACACGGUCCAGACUCCUACGGGAGGCAGCAGUAGGGAAUCUUACGCAAUGGGCGAAAGCCUGACGGAGCAACGCCGCGUGAGGGAUGAAGGUCUUCGGAUCGUAAAACUCUGUUAUUAGGGAAGAACAAAUGUGUAAGUAACUAUGCACGUCUUGACGGUACCUAAUCAGAAAGCCACGGCUAACUACGUG